Long non-coding RNA from Solanum stenotomum, 628 nucleotides. RefSeq lists it as uncharacterized. NCBI's taxonomy places the organism in Eukaryota, Viridiplantae, Streptophyta, Magnoliopsida, Solanales, Solanaceae. The transcript has 2 exons. The record is from RefSeq and is a predicted model, not a curated record.
AAAAGGUGGAAAAAAGUGGGGAAAAGUUGGAAAAUAAGGGGGAAAAUGUGGGGAAAAAUUCAGAUUUUAGCAAUUAAAAGGUAAAGAAAAAAAAGAAAAAUUUUGGUCUUCCAAAAAAUAGCCUUCAAAGACAUUCUCCGGCUAAUGAACUGCCGGAACGAGCAGCCAACACCCACCUCAAACGACCCUGUUUCUCCAUUUUUUUAUUUGUUUUUCAGACCCCAACGAACCGCCUUGCUAGACCUCAAACUCCGGCGGGACUCAAAGACGAAACAACCAGCAAAACGCCGACCUCCGUAGCUCCGGCAAACAAGUACACGGAGUUGCUUCCCAUUGAAGUUAUUCGAACGGAGUUUGAAUUAUAAUUUUUAUUUAUUAUUUUGUAUAUAUUGAUGCUAGACAAAUUUUAGGUCGUGUCUUAGUAUACACAAUAUUUCUGCAGGCUCUCAUUAAAAAAUAGGACAGGCUUGGACCAAAGCCCAGAUUAAUCCGUAACAGUUGUUAGGCUCAAAAUCAGCUCAAGCGGACAUACUUUUGAUUUUGGGCCCAAUAGGCCCAUUUUUUGGUAUUUGUGAUAAUCUGGAAAUUUUACUAUUAUUGAAUAUUUGAUAUAUUUUUUGUCUACUAA